CGGGCUUCAGGUCUUGCAAACGGCACGGACACGGAACGGACUUCCGACCGUGUUUUCCAUCCCAGCUCCUCCACCCACCCCAAAGGGAGGACGAGGCUAGCCCAACCAUCGCCACUGCCCUGUUAUCCUAUUUGCUGUGCAUUCUUGGCAAUAAUGUAUCAUGUGGGAAGCACGUCGUCUGCAUGAAGCAAGCGAGCUGUGACUCAUCCGUCCUUGGAUGUGGGAGUGUUGGCAGUCAGUUCAACACCGUUUCCCUGCCUGCAUGCCAGGUG
RNAcentral lists this long non-coding RNA (272 nucleotides) under Volvox carteri. RNAcentral's name for it is "long non-coding RNA (VCAR_LNC002013)". Lineage: Eukaryota; Viridiplantae; Chlorophyta; Chlorophyceae; Chlamydomonadales; Volvocaceae. The record is from RNAcentral.